RNAcentral lists this ribosomal RNA (443 nucleotides) under uncultured Rhodospirillaceae bacterium. RNAcentral's name for it is "bacterial SSU rRNA". It matches the Rfam family "Bacterial small subunit ribosomal RNA", at positions 335 to 796 of the family's 1533-position model. The record is from RNAcentral. Lineage: Bacteria; Pseudomonadati; Pseudomonadota; Alphaproteobacteria; Rhodospirillales; Rhodospirillaceae.
UGCCUACGGGAGGCUGCAGUGGGGAAUAUUGGACAAUGGGGGAAACCCUGAUCCAGCAAUGCCGCGUGAGUGAAGAAGGCCUUAGGGUUGUAAAGCUCUUUCGGCGGGGAAGAUGGUGACGGUACCCGCAGAAGAAGCCCCGGCUAACUUCGUGCCAGCAGCCGCGGUAAUACGAAGGGGGCUAGCGUUGUUCGGAAUCACUGGGCGUAAAGGGCGCGUAGGCGGCGCGACAAGUCAGGCGUGAAAGCCCCGGGCUCAACCCGGGAAUUGCGCUUGAUACUGUCGUGCUUGAGUCCGGGAGAGGAUGGCGGAAUUCCCAGUGUAGAGGUGAAAUUCGUAGAUAUUGGGAAGAACACCGGUGGCGAAGGCGGCCAUCUGGACCGGUACUGACGCUGAGGCGCGAAAGCGUGGGGAGCAAACAGGAUUAGAUACCCUGGUAGUCU